Molecule: long non-coding RNA, 558 nt
Filed under: Homo sapiens (human)
Lineage: Eukaryota; Metazoa; Chordata; Mammalia; Primates; Hominidae
Description: HSALNT0383743
Source: RNAcentral
CAAAAAACCAAAACCAAAACCAAAACCAAAACCAAAAAAAAAACAAAACAAAAAACAAAAAAAAAAACCAGGUCCUUAUUGACAUUUUCCUCGCUCUUUGCUUUUAGGAAAAAGCAGCAAAUUCCAACAAGAGAGAAGUAUCACUGGAUGGCAAACGGAGAGUGGGGUCCCAGCCUCACUCUGAGGGCAGGCUGAACACCUUAGGGACCAUCAACCCCCGGUGGUGUCGUUUCCAGUGAAAACCGAACUCCGGGAUGUAGCCGGAUUGGAGAGAAGCGAGUGACGCGUGCGCCCCCUUCCUGCGGCGGAUGGAUGAACGACACCCACCGCAGUGAAAGACACAGGCUUUAAGCACAAGAGGAGGAUCUGGGUAUGUCUCUAAUCUUUUGUUACUCUCCAGAUAUUCUUGGCCCUGCACUUACAAGGGUAGGUGUAUUAGAAGGGAUGGGUAUGGAGGUUAGGAGUGGGGUCCAUCCACACGUGCUUCCAGCCCUGGAGACCAGCAGCAUGGAUGGGCCUCAGCCUAGCUGGGGUCGAGAGGCCAGCCACCUUUGGGAA